AUUUUCUUAGUAUAAAAAGUACAAUUGGCCUCCAACCAAAAGGUUAAAAUUUAAGAAAAUA
This 61-nucleotide transfer RNA is filed under the name Orthopagus splendens. RNAcentral describes it as "tRNA-Gly". The record is from RNAcentral. Lineage: Eukaryota; Metazoa; Arthropoda; Insecta; Hemiptera; Dictyopharidae.